This 449-nucleotide long non-coding RNA is filed under the name Prunus persica (peach). Its description in RNAcentral is "long non-coding RNA (PPER_LNC004243)". The record is from RNAcentral. Lineage: Eukaryota; Viridiplantae; Streptophyta; Magnoliopsida; Rosales; Rosaceae.
AUCAACUUAUUUUGAGUUUGUUGUGUGUUUGUAGUCUCUACUUUAUUUUUUACAUGUGAGAGUUAAAAAGUUGUAGUUUGGUGUGCUAAGGUAUAUGCAAGGGUGUAACUAGGAAUUUUGCAACGAGUGGGUUAGCUAAAGUUUUUGGCUUAUAUCUAAUGGUAAUUUUUCUUGUACUUUAUAGUUUUCUAGAAAUAAAAUAUAUAUUAAAGCAUAUAAACCAUACUAGUUCAUAGUUCCAUUGACUAAUUUCCAAUAAGCUUUUACAUAAAAUAAAUACAUGUGAAAUGCACCAAAAACACACAGAGUAUCAAAAUGAAAAUAUGUUCAAUAGUUACAUAUUCAAGUGGUGCCUUAUGAUCCUUGAGAGAAUUGAAAUCUUUUGUUAGUGUGUAUGAAUCGAUAUUGUCAGCAAGUUCUUUUUCAAUGUAGACAAUUAAUGAAUCGCA